CGUACCGCAAAAAAAAAAAAAAAAAAAGUAAGUUACAAGAGGAGACCUUUAAAAAGUAAGGCUGCAGUUAUCAGCUGCCAGCAGACAUUAUUUUGAGAACGGCUGGUGGCAUCCAAGUCUGACACAGCUCAGAAAACUCAGGUUCUUAGCAAUACAAGGAUUUGCCUGAAGUCACACCCACAGUGUCAUCUAGUUAUUUCUUGGAUGUCUUAAACCAUAGCUACUCCAUUUUGACUCUUAAUUGUAAUAUUCCCCUUAAUAGCCAAAGCAGAUGUCACCAUUAAUGAUGUUAGUGUUUCUCUAGGUAGGAGAAGAGCAAGAAUCUGGCCCAUAGAAUCUUCUCCUGAAAAUAUAUCUCUCUCUGAAGGCCUGUUCUGCCAGUUUUUCCCAGAGCACAGAGUGCCUCAUUCCUGUCUCCACCCUGAGCUCCUUUCAGGGGGUGCUGAAGGUCAGCAGCUGCAGCGGCUCGUGAUUUAAUCCUUCUAGAGGCAGACGGCAAGUGCCAAUGGCGAGUGCCAAUUUCCAGUCAGCAGGGCCCCUUCAUGGUCAUAAAGGUGACCAUGGUUUGGGGGGCAUUUCAUUCCACAGUGCUAGGAAUGCUCAUUCCCAGGCCUAGCAAAGUGUUUUCCGAGUUUAAAUCUUAUCCUGUAGAACGGUAUAGCCAAAAAUUUAAAAAAAUAUAUAGCAGAAAACAUAACCACCCCACUGGUCCUGUAACGUAAAACCUUUAGUUCUCAGUUCAUAUGUAACAGUAAUAUCUAGGUUCACAGUCAGGACAUUGGUAGAUAGUGGUGCCUACCUUGAGAUUGACAUAGCCUUACUAAAAAUCUAAGUUUUACACUUUGACCAAAUUCAGGACAUUCACAUUAAUUUGAAAAGCCAAAAAUACAUACUACACAGCAGGCUGCACCUGAUAAUGAAACACUUUAUUCUGCAUCAAGGUAUCUGGAAAAUGAAGCUGCAUUUGGGGCACGUUACAGAUGAGGAAUGAUCCAUAUGUGUUUCUCCUAGCAGAGUCUCUGAAAUCACCUGCUUAAAGGGGGAUUAAAAGUGUUAAGCACCAAGCAGCCUGAAAUAUUUAUAUGACAUGGGGACACGCAUGGGAGGAGGAUCACUCAGGAAGAAGGAAGAAGCAGAAGAGCUCACUUAUCACACUAGAGCCCACUUGCCUGGCAAGCAUAGAAGUGACCAGUUAUUUUGACCACCACUUGGUCAUUCUCAUCAGGCGUCUGGUCACGAGGGACAACAACUUCUGCGCUUGACAAAUUCUGGAGCUCAUUCACCUGAAGGAGAUAAAUACAAAUCAUGUUAAGUGGAGUUGUUCUUUUUUUUUUUUUUUUUUUAAUUACCAUUUCCUUACUGUGUAACCAAAAUACUGAGCUUUGGCUUUAUAUUUAUAAUCUCAUCUAAUAAUACUAAUAAUUCUAUCCGUUUACUAGUAUUGUCCCCAUUUCAAGGUAAUUAAAACUAAGCCUUAGUGAAAGAAACUGACUCGCCCACAGUUGCAUAAGUUAAUGACACAACCAGAUUCAACCCCUGAAAAUCUGAUUCCAAAAUACACACUUUGAAUCACUUCAGAAUUGUAAAUAGCUUUGAAAAUGACUUGGAAGUUUUAUGUGUUAGAAACUGGAAACCAUUUGCUUUUUUCAGUUACAGAGGUAUAAGUUAUAAAUGUAGAUGAAAUUUUUUAAAGUUUCUUUUCAUGUCAUUAAGUGUUUGCACAAUAAAAGUAAAAAGCUGAUGUAUAACAACAGAAAAUGCAAAAUGCCCCUUAUAAAUAUGAGACAGUUCUCCCAUACAAAGUGGUCUGAAAGAGAGGCACUGCUUUCACUGGUAGCUGACACCAACACCCAGGAGGAACAAAAGGCAGUCUUCUCCAAACCUUGGCCCAGACGGUCCUGCUUUUUAUAAGUUAGCCAAAAUUUAGGGACUUGGAACUCCUAAGUACCUUUCAACGCUUUCCCUUUCAUACCACUGCACAGGUUUUGCUGAAGUACUUGCCGUUUUGCCUCCUUUUCCAAUAACUCUGCCAGCAGCAAAGGAUGGCACUCUGAUGUGAGCUUCAAGUUUCACCUCUUCUUUAGGACUAACAAAGUUUUCUUCUUUAAUUUUUCCAUAAAUUCUUCCCUGAGCCUACAGAUGAGAACAUAUCUCAUCAGUGUCAUUCAUGUAGGAAAUGCAAAAAGGUCCAUUAACUUUAAAGAUGGCCCGGAUCCACUGGAACAGACCUUUGCAGUGAUACAUCUGCAUUUGAUAGAUUGUGGAACGUUGCACAAGAGGUGGAAAAGUAAGGAAGUCCUAGAAAAGGUUGACAACAAUAAUAACUAUACAUCACAGAUGAGGCAACUGAAUGAUUGAUAAAAUAAGAUUAAACCAUAUUCUUCUGACAAAAACGGUUAAAGGCAAUAAGUUAGCAGUCAGCCGAACUAAAAUUUUUGCAAAUGACCAUUUGCUCUCCAGUCUUGAAAGGUAAAACCUCUCCUGUUGGCAAUAAGAUAGUAACUGCAUUUUUCUUGAGUAAAAGGGACUGCAGAGGAACUACAGAGCCACCUAUGCGAGGCUCACAAGAAGCCAAGCCGCUGUCUAAAUGGGCCAGCGAGGAAUUUUCUAGUUAAACAUUUCUUCAUCUUAGCCAGAUGGUUUCUACUUCGACUAAGGCUACAAAAUCAAGUUAACAUACACAUCUGACAGUUAUAGUCAAACACAUCCUGUCACUUGCUGCAUACAACUAGAAGUUAUACAUAAUAAACCUCUCCUAUUAUGUACAACCAUUAAUUUGCUCUGGUAUACACCAAAGGAAAAAGGAGUCAGAGUUGGUUUCAUCUGACAAGCUGCCACAGCAGAGAACAAAAACAAAAGUACCGAACACGUUUUCACUGGUGCAGAAAUGAUAAGCUCAUUUUAGGGGGUUACAGAAAAAAAAAAAAAAAUCCAUCUUAGUACCCUGUCUUCCAUUCAUCCUCAGUCUCAGGCCACAGAUGUAGCUAUCAACACAAAGGACACAACGGAUAUACAUUGUCCUCCGAAACAAGCUCUUGAAUUCAUAAGAAAAAAUAUGGGUUAGGAGGUUUACUAUUACUUAGAUGUCUAAAAUAAAAUAAUUUGUUAUUAUGACUGAUCACAUAAAUGACAUUUAAGCAUUACAGCUUUUCUUAAAUGUCCCAUUUAAGACAACUGAACAAUACAGGCAUAGGAGGAUACAGGGAAACAAACUCUGAAUUCCCCAGCAUACAAGCAUUAUGAAAACUGCACGAUAGUUAAUUCCAUUUGUAGAAUAAUAAGACCAUAAUUGAUGUUUGUAUUUAUCUUUUAGUAUUUCAAACUAAAAGUGACUGUCUCUGUAAGUCUGGGAUAGGAAGCAAUUUUCAGCAUCUCUGAGUUUUGAUCUGAACUGCCUGGACCACAAGGCUGGUAUGAGGAAGUAAAUUUCUUGACCCAAGUUUGAGGCUAGCCAACUGUACCCCACAUCUCAAAGCGCCUCCUUUUGUUUCCUGUUCUUCCUGUAAAUGAAGUGAAAAAAGCUUCCGAUUUUUAGUGAAAAAUAGAGGUCAAAGAAAGUGAUGGCUUAAAAGGAGGGAAGAAGUGGGCACUUGUUAACUUAGCCACAUUUUAGAGCUAAGAGAAGUAGGUUAAAGAGUUAUCCUGUUAACACAGCUGCUAAGUGGUAGGAACAAGACAGGAGUUUUGGAUAAAUUGCACUGAAUUGAGUAGCUGCUUUUACCUAUGACAAACAAGACACCCUACUGAGUUUAUGAGAGAAAUCACAUACUCAAAGGUAUACGUUUGUGAAUUUGAGGAUCUGGCAGGGUCUUAAGUCUGAUUCAUCCCAAGUCUGCUCAGCACCACCACCAGCACAUUUAUGUUGUACUUCCUGUGUCAGGCACUAUUCUAAGCAAUUCAUAUAUUGUUUAAACCUUAUUUAAACUUUGUGGGUGUUUUUAACCCCGAUUUUAUAGAUGAGGAACUAGGCAGAGAAAGGCUAAGUAACUUGCCCAAGGUCACACCACUGGUAAAUGGUAAAGCUGGGCUUUGAACCAGCAACCUGGCUACCAGGUCUCUGCUCUUCAUCACCCUGCUACACCACCUCUCAGGACAUGGUGGGAGGCAUUCCAGCCCCAAAGGCCCCAAACCCCAGUAUGACCAAUGGUUCACACCAGGACAAAUGCUGUAAGAGUUCCUGCCAUUUCCACCUCUAAAAUUCAAAAGAUUAGAGUGGCUUGUUGACCGACUGUGGACAAGGGCUAACGGUUAACCCAAGGGUAAGAGCAAACAGGGACAUUUUAAUUCAAGGUUGAGGCCUCUCUGGGACAAGAGGAAAAACUUGAGAACAGCAAGGCAUAUGAAUCAGACUUGUAAAUUUCAGUCUUAAGGUCUCACCUUCACACAUGCUAACAGGGCAUUGAGCAAAUUCUCCUUUGGGAGAUAGUCAAAACCAACAACCAUUACAGAACUCUCAAAAUUAACCAAAGGCUUUGGUUUAUUUUUAAAGUGUAAUUUGCGGUAUGUUUCUACUCUGUUCUUAGUCUUAGAAAUUUCCAUUGAGAGAUUCUUUCUACUGAGUAUUAGAUUUUUUUUACAGGAGAAGCCAGGUUAUGGAUUUCCCAAGAAGACAUCCAUUCAUUUGUUACCUGUGCACACACUCCAGAGCACAUACCUUGAACUGAGCCUCUGGUGGCCCAGUGAUAAUCACCAUCCUCACUUUAGCAUCUGGUGCUUCAGCUGGAGCGAUCUGUAACAGACCCAGUAACGGGUUAUGACACUUCCAGGUGCCACCAAUAGAAAUGUUACACCAACCAGCCUGUCAUUUGCACAUGACUUACUGAAAUGUAGAAUGAAAGCCUUCUGGAAGGUAGUUACAUGAAGCAGUGAUUAAUGUGGAUUCAUUAGUUAUGGCUCCUGCCAUAUACUGUGUACUUACACUGUGCCUGGCCCUAAUGUAAAAGUCCAGAUGCAGCCUCUACGUAACCCUCACUAUUUCCUGACGAGGUACUGCCUCAUGGAGAGGCCAAAGGCUGGAGAAGGUGAGUCACCUGGCCCAUGAUCACACAGUCCAGUGAAGCUGGAGGGAGAGCUGGGUCUGGCUCCACCAUCACAUUCCUUGUCACUACACCAGUGGGUGCUCAAAGGGUGGUUCUUAGCCCACGCGCAUCACAACACCCUGGGCCUCCUGUGUGUGCAAGAAACUGCUAGGUUCCCAGUCUAAGGCUAUCGGUACAUUCCCCCAAAGUACACUCGCUGGACUAACAUAUGGAAUAAACUAACAUUAAUUUGGCAGAAGAAAAGUGAACUCAGCCUCUUCUAUUUUGGCAGAGCGUGUGAAAUCACACAAAAAGCCUAGGCUAGGGAAUUGUUGCAGAGACUGUUGAAGGGGGAGGAAACCAGCAUUCCCUUAGUAAGAAAGCAUUUGGGGAGUUGGAUGGUAGAAAGUGUUUUAAAAGAAAAAAUUUUGCUAGAUAUUUGCUGUGCAAGAAGCAAUUCCCUAUAGUAAAUAAUGAGAACAGGAAGCAAAAAAUACAAUAAAAGCCAUCCCAACUACCA
Molecule: non-coding RNA, 5538 nt
Organism: Delphinapterus leucas (beluga whale)
Lineage: Eukaryota; Metazoa; Chordata; Mammalia; Artiodactyla; Monodontidae
Source: RefSeq, a predicted model, not a curated record